GCCAGUGGCCAUAGUGGAGAGGAAAUACCCGUUCCCAUUCCGAACACGGAAGUCAAGCUCUCUUACGUCGAUGAUACUGCUCUUUAGCGGGAAAGUAGAAAGUUGCUGGCU
This 111-nucleotide ribosomal RNA is filed under the name Spirochaetaceae bacterium. Lineage: Bacteria; Pseudomonadati; Spirochaetota; Spirochaetia; Spirochaetales; Spirochaetaceae. The record is from RNAcentral.